RNAcentral lists this ribosomal RNA (254 nucleotides) under uncultured bacterium. RNAcentral's name for it is "partial 16S ribosomal RNA". It matches the Rfam family "Bacterial small subunit ribosomal RNA", at positions 524 to 776 of the family's 1533-position model. The record is from RNAcentral.
UACGUAGGGCGCAAGCGUUGUCCGGAAUUAUUGGGCGUAAAGAGCUCGUAGGCGGUCUGUUGCGUCUGCUGUGAAAACCUGCGGCUCAACCGUGUGGUCUGCAGUCGAUACGGGCAGGCUGGAGUUCGGUAGGGGAGACUGGAAUUCCUGGUGUAGCGGUGAAAUGCGCAGAUAUCAGGAGGAACACCGGUGGCGAAGGCGGGUCUCUGGGCCGAUACUGACGCUGAGGAGCGAAAGCGUGGGGAGCGAACAGG